CCUACGGGGGGCAGCAGCGGGGAAUAUUGCACAAUGGGCGCAAGCCUGAUGCAGCCAUGCCGCGUGUGUGAAGAAGGCCUUCGGGUUGUAAAGCACUUUCAGCGGGGAGGAAGGCGGUGAGGUUAAUAACCUCAUCGAUUGACGUUACCCGCAGAAGAAGCACCGGCUAACUCCGUGCCAGCAGCCGCGGUAAUACGGAGGGUGCAAGCGUUAAUCGGAAUUACUGGGCGUAAAGCGCACGCAGGCGGUCUGUCAAGUCGGAUGUGAAAUCCCCGGGCUCAACCUGGGAACUGCAUUCGAAACUGGCAGGCUAGAGUCUUGUAGAGGGGGGUAGAAUUCCAGGUGUAGCGGUGAAAUGCGUAGAGAUCUGGAGGAAUACCGGUGGCGAAGGCGGCCCCCUGGACAAAGACUGACGCUCAGGUGCGAAAGCGUGGGGAGCAAACAGGAUUAGAUACCCUAGUAGUC
Molecule: ribosomal RNA, 465 nt
Filed under: uncultured Klebsiella sp.
Lineage: Bacteria; Pseudomonadati; Pseudomonadota; Gammaproteobacteria; Enterobacterales; Enterobacteriaceae
Description: bacterial SSU rRNA
Rfam family: Bacterial small subunit ribosomal RNA
Source: RNAcentral